Molecule: ribosomal RNA, 442 nt
Filed under: uncultured bacterium
Lineage: Bacteria
Description: partial 16S ribosomal RNA
Rfam family: Bacterial small subunit ribosomal RNA
Source: RNAcentral
CCUACGGGAGGCUGCAGUAGGGAAUCUUUCACAAUGGGCGAAAGCCUGAUGGAGCAACGCCGCGUGCAGGAUGAAGGCCUUCGGGUUGUAAACUGCUUAUAUAAGCGAGAAAUAUGUUGGUAACUUAUGAAUAAGGAUCGGCUAACUACGUGCCAGCAGCCGCGGUCAUACGUAGGAGCCGAGCAUUAUCCGGAGUGACUGGGUGUAAAGAGUUGUGUAGGUGGGAUAAUAAGUAGCUAGUGAAAACUGGUGGCUCAACAAUUCAGACUAUUAGCUAAACUGUUGAGCUCGAGACCGUUAGGGGUAACUGGAAUUUCUAGUGUAGGGGUGAAAUCCGUAGAUAUUAGAAAGAACACCAAUGGCGUAGGCAGGUUACUGGAACGGUUCUGACACUAAGGCACGAAAGCGUAGGGAGCAAACGGGAUUAGAUACCCCUGUAGUC